Molecule: long non-coding RNA, 17293 nt
Filed under: Nicotiana benthamiana
Lineage: Eukaryota; Viridiplantae; Streptophyta; Magnoliopsida; Solanales; Solanaceae
Description: long non-coding RNA (NBEN_LNC022890)
Source: RNAcentral
UGACACCAUUUUGGAAAACUUUUAUUCCGGUUACUGCUUGUUAAAUUCCGUUAGGUUCUUUGUCAAAUACUAACUGAUUUUAAUCCAUAUUCUUUUGGGGUGUAACUUUGGUUGUUCUUUCCUUCGAGCUAAGAUAGACCCUAUCAAAAACGAGUUCCAGAAGCAUCUUCCAUUCAUCUCGACCUAGACUGAUCUUUGUUCUGAUGAUGAUAAACCAUCAUCAAUUUGUAUAGUAUAUAUACCCCCAAGCCCUCUUUUUGUACCAUUUUUUUCUUUCUAAAAGAGGGCCUGGAACUGGGCUCUCUUCACAGCCCCUAAAGGCGUUAGGAAGAGAUUUAAUCAGCCAGCGUAAUAACUUCAAUCGAUAGAAAAAUCUAUCAAGACCUAAAACAAAGAAUACCAUCUCCCAGGGAGUCUUUUUAUUUUGCAUAUCUCGAGUUUAGAAUUCUCCUCACGCUUUUUCCAUCACGAUUUUCUCUUCGAGAACACUCGCCUCGUCGAUUCUUCCCCUCGUUCCUUUUAUCUUGGACACAAGGUGAAGGAGUGCGGCAGCACUUCUCCUUCAGAAGUAAGAAAGAGGACUCCAGCUCUCUCAACGUGGUGUAUAGCACGAAAAACCUUUCGAUACAAGAUAGGGCCGUUCACAUGAAAGAAAAAAAUGAAUCCUUUCUUAUCUUCUUUCCCGAGAGGGAAAGAGAAAGAGGGUCUUAUGGAGGGAGGGGGGAGGGGAAAGGCUUGGGCCUACCUAUCCCGAUAGGACCCCAUAAAAGAACGGGAGCUGUUGAGAGGUUCCAUAUUGCCGAGACGAAGGACAGCACUUCUGUACGUGAUCGUAGUAUGUCACGUCGUCUCGUCCCCGCUGCAUCGAAGAGUACCUAUGCACUAUGUUCCGGUUCACUGAUAAGGAAGAUAGCGUUGGGGUGGGGGUCUACGAUGUGAUACUAAAGUAUGACCGGGGGAGAUACAUGCUAACUAUGGGUAGGAAGCAGGAACCAUUAUGUAAAAAAUUUCGGGGGGUUACAGAUCUCUUAUACUACCAUCGAUCAACAGAGCGGAACGACCAGAAAAAGAAGUUAUAAGUAGAUACUGAAAAGAUUUUGCAAAAUAAAUUGUAAAAACUGAAAAAAUCAUUCUUUGACAUAAUAUUUUUGUUUGUAAAACUGUAAAAAUAUAUUUGUAAAAAUUGAAAACCAUUGUAAAAACUGAUAUUUUUGUAGUUUUUAACAAAAUAUUUUUAUUUUUUAAAAAUUGAAAAAAAGUAUUUAAAACAAAAUAUUUUCGUUUUUGAAAAAUGUUUUUUUUCAUUUUUUUAAAGAUUUUCCUUUUGUAAACUAAAAAAUAAAUUUAUAUAAACUGAAUUUUUUUUGUGAAAACAGAAAAAAUAUAUUUUCGUUUUUAAAAGCAGAAAAAAUUAUUUUCAACAAAUUCUUCAUUUUUUCAGUUUUAUAAAAGAAUUUUAUUUUAUAAAAAUUGGAAUAACAAAUUUUUAAAAACAGAACAAAAUAUUUUUGUUUUUUACAAACUAAAAUUUUAAAAAAAAGGGAAAAAUGAAAAUAAGGGUCGGGUUGUGGGUUUUUUUAAAAACGGGUGGCGUAAAAAAAAGGAAAUGAGUCGAUUUAAUCUGGUGUUGCCACGUUGUACUUCAUUCAAAAUAGGGGUAUUUUCGUUUCAAAGUAUGACAGUAGGGGUAUAAAUGACCCAAUAGUAUGACGGUAAGGGUAUAGAUAGCCCAAUAGUAUAAUGAGGGGUACAAGUAAUCAAUAUUUGAAAGUAGAAGGGUAUAUUUAGGCCUUUUUCGUAGUUUAACAAUCAAAUUCCGUCAAUGGAACAAUAUUAAAAGCAUCAAUAUCAUGGCAAGGGAGAUAACAUUAAGAGAAACAACAUCCCAGCAAGGGAGACAAUAUAAUGAUUCUCUUUUCUUUUUUACUUUUACUUCACAACUCAUUUCACAACUUGAGCCAAUGCUUUAUAAGGUUCAAAUGCCAAUUAUACUUCCACAAUUUGUUAUACAACUUUAGCCAACGCUCUUCAAUACUCAAAUACCACCGUUUCUUCCACAAAUUUUACUCAACAAUAGAAAUCAUCACAAAGGGCAUGAACAAUACAAACGGAGUCAUAAACAUCACAAUAUAAGACUCACAAGCAUGCUUGACACCAACGUAUUGAUACUCGUCUCCAUGCCUAUACGUAUUACUCAACAAAUAACACGUAGCAAAUAGGAUACAACUCCUAAUACCUCAAACUAAGUUUAGACCAAACAUUUACCUCGAUGCUACGAACACAAUUCAAGUCUCAACUAUCGCUUUACCUCUUGAUUCAAUUGUCAAUUCGCUUGUAUCUAGCCACAAGUUACUUAAUUACAUCGAUAAAUGCUAAAUAAAUCUUUUCUAAUGCAUGAAAAUAAAUUUUCUAUAAUUUUUCCCAAAAAGUCAAAAAUCGACCCCGGGCCCACAUGGUCAAAACCUGAGGUUCGAACCAAAACUCUAUUACUCAUUCCCCCACGAACCCAAAUAUAUAAUUUGUUUUGAAAUAUGAGGUCCAAAUUCCCAAAUUUUGAAAAAUCUUGAUUCUACCCGACAUACUUAAUUUUCCCAUGAAAAUCAUUGUUUUUGUGUUGAAUCAUGUGAAAAGAUGUUAAAGAUUGAAAAACCUAGUUAGGAACGACUUACAAUUGAUUUUGAGAAGAAAUUUUCUUUGGAAAAUAGCCCAAGAGAGUUUAUGUUUUGAGAAGAUAUUAAAUAUGGCUGAAAAUGCAUCUAAGUAUGAAUUAACAGGUCUCAAAUAUCGUAAUUGCGACCAAGGUUCUCAAUUGCGAACCCCUCAAAAAUCUGCUGUUGUCGCAGUUCCGACAAAGUAUCGCAAGUGCGAAGUCGCUUUUGCGACCAAGGGGAAUUCUUGGCCACUUUGCAAAUGCGACGAGUUUUUCGUAUUUGCGAGAUCGCUUUUGCCACUACAUCGCAUUUGCGACCUCAGGGCAGACCAGGUCCUUUCGCAUUUGUGGCGAUUUUCUCGCGUUUGCGAGCCAGGCUUCGCAAAUGCGAAGUCUGCAGACCUGCAGCAUACCAGCAGUUCCUAAGUUAAAAUCUCACUCAGUGGCCUAUCCAAAGCUCGUUCAAGCCCUCGGGGCUCCAAAACCAUGUACAUCAAUCUAAAAGCAUUAUACAGUCUUGCUCGUGCAUUCAAAUCACCAAAAUAACAUCAACAACUAUGAAUUUUGCAUCAAAAUCAUGAAAUCACUUAAGAACAUAACUUUUUUUCCAAUUUUCUCAAAUAAAGUCCGAUUCACGUCAUUUCUUUUACCAAAUUUCAAAGACUCAACUUAAAUCGAAUACAAGACCUGCAGUGGGUUCCGGAACCAGGAUACGGGCCCGAUACCAUCAAAUUUCAAACACAUUUCAUUUUCAAAAACUCAUAAAUAUUCCAGAAAAUAAUUUUCUUUAAAAUUCAUUUCUCGCGCUUGAGACCUCGGAAUUUGAUUCCGGGCAUACGCCCAAGUCCCAUAUUUUCUUACGGACCCCUCUGGAUUGUCAAAUUAUGGGUCCGGAUCCGUUUACCCAAAAUAUUGACCGAAGUCAACUUAAAUUCAUCUUAUAGAUAAAAUUUAUUAUUUUUUACAGAUUUUCACAUAAUGGUUUUCCUGCUAUGCGUUCGGAUUGUGCAGGCAAAUCGAGGUGAGACAAAAAAAUAUUUUUAAGGCCUCGGAAUACAAAAUUUAAUGCCUCGCAAAUUAAGCUAUUUUUAUAAUAUACAUUACAUAAUGAGCUCUUACUGAAGAUGUGUUAUUAAAUUUUUACAAAAACUUUCUAUGAUACUGUUUGAUCAACAAAAAUAUUUGAAAAUUUUAAAAACUUUACAACAAAUUUUUAAAAACAAACACCAAAAGAACACGAUAAGCACACGGUUUACGGUCAUUUGCAUAUCGUUUAUGCAUUGUCAUUUCGAUAAAGUUUUCUAUUAUCAAUCAAUUACUUCUCUAUUCUUUGCCAACUCAUAAUUGUUGUGUUCUUUUAAUUUUAGUGGCCCCUCCAAAAGCACUUUUCGGUGAAUUUAGUUCGUUAAGAUAUUCAAUUAUUUAAAAUUCUAAAAAGUAGAAAAAGAUGUCAAGGCAGUUGCAUAAAUAAAAUAUCACCUGUUACAAAUCAAAUAAAUUGUACAAAUAAUAGAAAUUUUUUUUUAUACAUCAGUAAAUAUACAUAGCGCUCUACGCUCUUUUAUGAAAAGCGUCCUUAUCCAAUUUUUAUUAAGUGCCUACAUCGAAAAACAUUAAUUUAGAUCCUAAUUAAUGUAAUCAAAUCUUGAAAAUAGUCAAUCAAAUUAAAGUUUAAUAACUGAAUAAACCAAGAUUGGCCCAUAAGUGUGGUGGAAUAAUUCGGGUGAAAUUCAAAAAUAACUGAAAUUACAAGUGGUGAAAAUAGCCACAUUUUCAAAAGUGCUCGAAAUUUAGCUAUUUUUCAUGUAGAAAUAUCUGAAUCAAAAUACUGUUUCAAAUCUAGCAUAAUAUGCUGGAGUUCGAAUUUUUUACAUGUGAACUUCCAAUAUAACAUGUUGGAAUUGCAUAAUUGCUGGAAUUUCAACAUAAUAUAUUGAAAGUUCAUAUACAAGUGCUCCAAUCUCUAAUAUGUUAUGCUGGAACUUUUUGUGUGCUCGAGUUCCAAUAUAAUAUGCUGGAAUUUCAUCCACUUGUGCUCCAAUCUCUAGUAUAUUAUACUGGACCUUUCCGUGCUGCAGCAAGAUAGUGAGUAAUUUUCAAUGACUUUACAAACGCUGGAUAUUUUUCAAUUAUCAGUCCAAAAACUAGCUAGCCCGUGCUAUUUCAACAAUAAUUCGGAUCUCAUUAUUAACCAGAAUCUCUAGUUCGAACUCUAAAACUAAUAACUUCUUGAUUGGGGGUACUUUACCCUCUUAAAGGCCUAUCUCCCACGGAUCCAAAUUGGUGGUCUCGACUUCUAACCCUAAGAACAUAGAACUUUUUGAUAUGGAGCACUUUAUCCCCAAUAAUGAACCCAUGCGGUACGGAUCCAAAUAGGUGAUUUUGGAUUCGAAUCUUAAAAACGAAGAACUUUUUGGCAGAGAACAUUUUAUCCAUCUAGUAGACCUAGCUACCCAACACGAAUAGGUCAAAAUUAGUCAGAUGAAUGAAUCAUGGAUACUAAAUGAUUAUACCAGACAAAUUUAGUUUCUUCAUUUUCACACUCUGAGAAAGAAAACCUUUGAAAAUUCUUCUAUGUCUUCUUCAAAAUCUAAUACACUAAAACGUAUUUGCACUUGUUCUCCUACUACACAUCCAGGUUCUUUCAGAUGCAGUUUUCACAGAAAUGUUGGAAAAUUAUCAAAAAGUUCAUAUUCAACAAGUUAUAAUUGGGCAUUAGCAAAGAAUUUGGCUAAAGGUAACUCUUUGAAAUCUUUGCUUCUUCAAAUUAUAAAGCCUUCUAGCCAUGAUCUUCAAAGAAGAAGGAAUUUCCAGCCAAAGCCUUCUAGCUUUUUUGGAUGAAUAAUAAUCCAGAUGGGGUUGCAGUUUCUUGAUUACAACAAGCAUUAAGAGCUCGAGCUGUCUAUUUUUCGGCGGGGAAUGAGAGUCUAGGAGCAAUAGUAAAUACGUAAAAUUAUCUCAGUUUGAUUAAUAUAUACGUUAUGAAUUCGAGCCGUAAAAAUAGCCAAUAAUAUUUGUAUUAGGAUAUAUAGGCGGUUUACGUCAUACUCUUGAAGUGCAGUCCUUUUUCAGAUCUUACGAGAUACCUUUUUUUCUAAAAAAUAAUUUACGGUUUGCAAAGAUAUUUACUAUAUAUUCUGGUGAAAAAAUAGCAGAUAUCUUGUGAAAUAGUUGAAGUAUGUACAAAUUAACACGAACAAUAUCCUCGUAGAUUUUAGUUGUUUUUUAGCUAUUAAUGCAGAGGUAGAAUCAGGAUUUAAAUUUUAUGGGUUCAAAAUCUUAAUUCAAGUUACCGCAUUUUAAUCUAAUACUUUAUACGUAUUCAGUAAAUUUCUUAAGACAAAUAUAAUAUUUGGACCAAAGCUAUUAAAUUCAAUCGAAUUCGUAGCCAAACAACUGGCUCCGCCCAUGUAUCAAUGUUUAGAUUAAUCUAUUAUGGUAGCCUGGUAGGUUAAUUUUUGUGCUUAUCCAGUUACCGGUUAAUACUCCUUAUAAUAAAGAUUUACAUGUAUUUCUUUGGUAUAAGUGACAUGACUGUCUAAAAUUAUAAUUUUCUACAUUAUUGUCAGAAUGUGGAACUUUCUUUUUUCUUCCUUUUUCUUGACUUUUCUGUAACUUUAUAUGAAAAUUGUUGUCUAGCUAGUGGCAAAUUACCCAAAAGAAAAGGGAGAAAAAGGAAUUAACAAAAGGAAGUGGAGGGUCUUUAAUCAUCACUAAGCUAUUCCUCACUAAUCAAAUUUAGACCUCUUUUGAUACGUAAAAUUAUAAAUGUUUUAUCCGAUUACAAAAUUCAGUUGCGUAACUCACAAAUCAGGAAAGCUUAAGUGGCCGUUUGGUCAUAAGAAUUGUGAAAUUUCAAAAAAAAAAAGUAAAAUAUUGUUCAAGUGAAAAAGUUAUAAUUUGAAAAUUAGAGUUGUAUUUGGAUAUGAAUUUAAUUUAAAGUUGUUUUUGAAUUUUUGUAAGUGAUUUAAAGUGAAAAUUUGAAAAAUAAUUUUAUGGAAUUAAAUUUCAAAAUUCAACUCCAAGUGAAAUUUGAAAUUUUCAUGGACAAACACUCAUUUCGAUAAAUAAAUUUAUUUUUUAAAGAAAAGGUAAAAUAUAUUUUAUAACCAAACGGGCCCUGAAAAUUUAGCUUUUAAGGUGUCAGCGUGAAGAGGAAAAAGAAGUGUCAUCAGAACAACAAAAAUAGGGUUUUAUUGUUACGUAACAACAAAACAAAAGAAAAAGGUAUAUGUACUAUAAGAAUUUUCACACUAUUAGCGAGGAUGAAUCACUAUUUAAAUUUAGUGGUUCGAUCUUUAAGUUUUUUUUUAUAUUUUUAAAAUUAUGAAUUUAAAUUUAAUAUUUAUUAAAAUUUUAAUGAUUUUUUACUUAUAUCUAUACUAUGUGUCGAAACUAUUGGGUUGACAUGCAGCACAAAAAAUAGAAAAAUUGCAUCCGUUAUUGACCAUAAGUAUAAUUCGACCUGAUUAUGAAUGCUAAAUUGAAAUUUUAUAACUGUGGAUGCAUAAUAAUUAAGCUCAAAUUUGAAAAUGAAAGCUAAACCCCGUUGUCAUCUUGCCUCUAGGUUCUUUCCUAUAUCUUGGGAAUUUAUCAACCAACUUAUAAAAUGAUUAUGCUCAAUUAUGUCUUAUAAAAAGAAUAAAGCAGUCAUCACAAAUAUAAUUCGAUUUAUAAGUUCGGAGUCGAAUCACAUAAAGAACUAUGACUUAGCUACAGUUAUUUACUAUCACCAAGAAUACAAGUUUGAACAAUUCCUAUAUUAUAAAUAGUUAGAUUCUUGUAUUUAACUAACUAGCUAACAAAUUAAAAUAAUAAAUUAACACUAAAGAUACUACAGGUUGGAGAAAAGAUUAAGAAUGUCUAGAGUUAUAAUUUUCCCAACUGUCGGAAUCCUUCCCGCUAUGUUUUCUAUAAUUUCGUCUAAGUAUUCUCUACCGAUCAUGAGUGCUCUGUGUGUUGUAAUUAUUUCCCGAGUAAUUGUGACAAUUUACUAGACACACUCUCCCGAGUUGCGCUAGCUGGCUUUAAUUACAACUCUCUUAGAUCGUAUCCAAGGUUUCGUUAUCUCUAAUCCCACCUUUAAACCCAUGGUUAUUGAUUCCUCACAUACUUCGGGAGUGAUGUUGUUCAACAACUACUAAAUAUGCACUCUCUCACGAAUAAUACAUACUAAAUAGACACAGCUAAUUGAGGGCCCUUCAAUCAACCACAAGAAUAAUAUAGUUGAACAAAUAGAGAAAAUACUACGGCUCAAUUAUAUAAAAAAUAUGCACUCUCUCACGAAUAAUACAUACUAAAUAGACACAGCUAAUUGAGGGCCCUUCAAUCAACCACAAGAAUAAUAUAGUUGAACAAAUAGAGAAAAUAUCACGCUCAAUUAUAUAAAAACAUAACAAGAAUAUAUCCUACAAAAGGUUCCAUCAAAACCCAAGACAAAAAAUUAGCUAUUCAUAAUAGUACACAAAACUACAAUACUAAAAGUCAUAACCAACAAUGAAAAAUAGGAAGAUGAAGGAAAAAACUCGUAGAAGAAUUUCCCGCCUUGCUCCUAUUUGUCUCUACCUCCUUAGGUCGAUUCUGUGUCAAAAGUUAGUCUCCUCCUCUCAAAAUAUAAUUUUUUCAUGUGUGUGUGUGUAUAUAUAUAUAUAUAUAUAUAUAUAUAUAUAUAUAUAUAUAUAUAUAUANNNNNNNNNNNNNNNNNNNNNNNNNNNNNNNNNNNNNNNNNNNNNNNNNNNNNNNNNNNNNNNNNNNNNNNNNNNNNNNNNNNNNNNNNNNNNNNNNNNNNNNNNNNNNNNNNNNNNNNNNNNNNNNNNNNNNNNNNNNNNNNNNNNNNNNNNNNNNNNUAUAUAGAUAUAUAUAUAUAUAUAUAUAUAUAUAUACCAAGUAGGGCCGGACCCAAAUAAUUAUACCUUCUCCUACACGAAAAAGGACAACUUUCCAGACCUGGACGCCCGCGGCCGCAGUACGGCCGCGGUACUUUCCUAGUGUACUGCCUCAGUCCGCGUCAAGUCUGCGGUCGCUAUUUUGAUCACGUUUUUAACCCUAUUCUAUUUAGAAUUUGGAAAGGCAUAAAACAUUAAAGUUGUAGCUCUUUGAGUUAUCUUUUCAAACAUAUAUUGUGGAGCAUAAAUAAAGUUCUGAGCGAAAACUUAUAUGUGUUUUACUUGAUAGUGCGCAAUAUGCCUACUCGAUUCUUCGUUUUGUUGAUCUAUCAUCCGUUGAUUCCCCAAUACGAUCUAGGCUUAAUUCCUUGGUCUUUUAAUCAGACUUCAAAGCUUCAAAUCACUUGAAUUUAUUCCAUAAUAUCUGCAUAGCUCAAAAUCACCCCUACAAGGCAUAAAACACACAAUUAGUGCAAGACACUAGCUAUUAAAGCUCAAACUCAAUUUAAAAUCAAUAAAUUUUGAGUGUAAUAAGCGGCUAAAAUACGUAAUUAUAGUCUAUCAUCAACAUCCCAUACUUAAACCAUUACUCGUCCUCAAGCAAUCAAACUAAAUUUUUUGUAGACAUAGCCUUUUUAAACAAUUCUUCCAACUCAUCACACUAAGUAUUUUAAAAUAAACUAAGCACAGAAGCAUAACAUCUUCACCUCAAGAUUUGACUCAGAAGUACCACGCAUUAUUCACAACUCACACACUUAAUCUAACAUAGAGGUCGGUGAUAUUACCUUUCCUUCAUGAAUCAAGUGCCCUCACAAAAUAAAAGAGAGUAGUCCCACACGCUAUAUAAUUUAAGAAUAAUUAGGAACUCAAGAUAGAAAAAAUUCACUCACUUUUAGAAAUAACAUUCAUAUGCUACAAAAGAUGCACCAUAGGCUUACCCGUAGUAUACUACUUUACUAAUCGAGCUUAUUCAGUCUAGAAUCAAGUAGGACUUUAUUUGGUUGUAAUGUAGGCAGCGGAGCGGGUAGGAUACAUUUUUAUAUAAGAGUGACUACACCUUCCUAAGCACUUUAAUACAUAUACAUUAACAUUAAAAUCCCAUAUUUAUAUCAAACCAAACUCCACCUUUAUAUCAAUGUAUAUUACCCAUUCUUCUUUAAGCACACUUACAUCAAAAGCCACCAUUUAUCAAGGAGUAUUUUUUUGACAACAAUCCAACUAUUUUUCUUUUUCAAUUCAAGUGGCUCUUACUUUUUCAAAACAAUUCACAUUUGUUCUUAUUUCAUUAGUUCCACUCAAAAUCCAAACCUACCACCCUACACUUUAACUUUUACAACAGUUCAUAACAAUUCAAGUGCUCCUUAGAUAUUAAAAGGUUCAAAUUGAUGAUUAAUUCAAACAAAUUGGUAAGGCUUGUAAUGUGGUUGCCGAAGAAACAAGGUUACAAGCUCAAAGGGGUCAACUACAAUACAUAACAAUUAGGUGGGUAAAAUAUAUAUAUCUGGCUCAGCAAAGAAACGCCUAUAUCACUUCCAAGACUGAACAAAACUACUAUUUCGCAAAACACACAGAGCAAGUUCUAGUUAUCAAAUGCAAUGCACAGAAUACAACAAAUCUUUACACACACAUGGAACAUAACUCACUCAGGAUUGCACUUAUCAAGACACUCUAAUCAAAGCAGCUAUGCAAAUUUAAGAUCAUACAAUUUAAGGUACUUAUACAGGAUUCAAAAACUGAGCCUAAGCGUCACAACCAAAGUACUCACUAUUCUCAAGGCAUAACAAAUUCAAGAGAUAUUGAAUUCAAAAUACAACACAAUGUCUCUUACUCCCAAAAAAACGUUUGACUACACCUUGUUCAAACAAAACUAUUGGAAAAGAACCACGACACAAAGAGAAACCAAGGGGUAAUUGCUACACUACCUAACAAAAGAAAAUAUUUUUUUGUCUUUUUUUCUUAGGACAUAAAUCCCUCAAGAAAAUUGUCUAAGAGAUCCAUUGUCGGAAAAAGUUCAAUCUUUUCUAUUAAAAAAAUAUUCAGUUAAACUAACUUAACUAUAAUAGCAUAGAAAGUCACCCAGACAAUCUCCUCACCCAACACUUAAAAUUGUACAUUGUCUCCAAUGCACACCCAUACGUACAAGAGGGUAAAAGAAACUCCCUGGUAGGCCAAAGGCCGAAGCACUAGCAUCUCAUGGGGUACUCAGACUUCUUCCAGGCCCGGUCCUUCGUGCGUGUACCUCAUACGUAGUUUCAACCAUCUUGAUGUAAAUUACUUUUUAACUCCAUUUUGUACUUAUUAAUCAGACCCCAAGUUUAAAUUAUGCUCUAUGAUCAUGCCCAUAGGGUGGUAGAACGAAUCUGGCUGGCCCAAUAAAAUAAUGUAGUAGUCUGCACUUAUUGGCCUUUACAUGAGAUUUGUAUUCACGACUUUUUGGAAAGAAGCAUUCUAGAAUGUAGGCUCCUUGUUCCCCAUUCCUUGACUCCUCAAGUGGCUCAGACGACUCUAUUUCCAUAUCAUCAUCCAAACACAAUAUGAAAAAAAUGCUUGGAGUGCGGACCAAUGAACUCAACUACAAGAACAUUGGGACUGUCUACAUUCUCAACAAUAAUGACAAUAGAUUCAACUAAAUAUGUAUCCUUAAUAUCCUUGGGUGACUCUAGUAUCUCUUCUAAAACAUCGACAUCCUUAAUCUAGUGCCAAUAAUUGUUGGUGUUCUACUCUAGCCUUCUCCUCUAACUAAUCCUCGUAUUUUUUUGGAAUCAUCAAGUAUAAUGGCAGUUUCUACAGCCAAUUCAUGCUCAUAUUGGCUACUAUUUACAAUACCAACUUGUUAUUGUCGAUGCCCCCCUUUUCCUGAGGCGAAAUCGGGUUCGUGACAUUUGGGCGAAUAACUCUAUUACUUUUGGGAAUUUGGGUUUUGGAAUUUUGAAGAGUCGCCACCUAAUGAUUAAAGUACAUUAGGACCCUAAGAAGGGUUUUUGAGUUGAAGAAACCACAGUUCGGGUAAGGGCUAGAUAUUAUCUCGAUAUGAAAGUGUUAGGUACCCCCCAAGAUCCACUAGUUUGGUUCCCGUUCAUGUUAUGUAGUGACUUCACGUAAUCAAGUAGACAUUAAGGGCUCAAAUAAAGGGAUUCGCACACAACAUCGCAAAUAAAUUGAAACUUUUGAAAGUAAGUAGAGAGGAAAGAUUUAAAUAGUUUUACAAGAAGAGAUGAGAUCAAAUAAAAGGGAGAGGGGUCCUAGGUUUAUGAUUAAUAUGGAUCAAUCAAUGCAAUAUCCAGCAAUCACUCCUCAGAAGAGGGGUUUCACGUGAUAUUAGCGCACCGGUCAUCAUAUCCAUAUCUAUCCUUCCCACCAUGUUAAGGUAUUAAAGCGCGAAAUGGCAUUGUUGCUUAUUGCAUGCUAGUACCCGUCCCAAUCCUAUCAGUCCCGGAGGCAGUUAGGACUACUAAUCCUAAAUGGGUGGGAGUUGGUUUUUUCAGAGUUUUAAAAGGAUAGAAGUCUAGGCGUCAAACAAAACACAUAAACAGUUAGAGGAAAGCAAACAACAAUUAAGGCUCAAAUAGGCCUCCUCACUUAAAGGCAAAUGUAUAGCAUGAGUUCAAGUACUGGUAGGGUCUAAAUUAAACUUAACGUUAAGGAGGUAGACUGGCUUAUUACACGUUUCAGAUAAGAAACUGGAAUCAAACCUGCCUGUUGGCUGGAAUUGGUAGACUGAUGUAAUCGAUUAAUAACCUACAUGUUUGCCUAGAUGAGGCUUGCAGUCAUGAUAUCUAACAUUGCGAGUGACAUACUGAUUUUAAAUAAGAAUUACUGAUUUAAGGCAAGAUAGAAGCUCUGCAGAUUUUUAAAUGACAUGAUUAACGAUUUAAACUUGUAGACGAAUCUCAUUCAAUGGGCUACUUCUAUAGACACGAUUUCUAAGCGUUAUUGAUUUCAAAGAAAUUAACGGGAUGCAAGUACCUAUAGGCAUGAUAUCUAGGAUGCAACUCUUUUUUCUAUUAAACCUAUAAACGGUUUUUCUAAUGACGUAUGUAUGCAGAAAUGCAGAAGACUUAUAAACAUGGUUUCUAUGUGGUGAAAUGCAGAAACUUAAAGACAUAAUUUCUAAUGCAGAACUGAAACAACUAAUUGGCAGGAUUUCUACAUGUAAUGCAUAACGUAUAGGCAGGAUUGCUACAUGCAAUGCAUAACUUAUAGGAAGAAUUGCUACAUGCGAUGCAUAAGCGAAGGAGCAGGCUGUGAUUGCAAAAGUAAAUACUAAAGCAGGAUGUCUACCCAUAUGCAUAUAUGAGCAACCCGCCCAUUUUCACUAGAACCCCCUAGUUAUUACAGAUUAUUAUAGAUCAGAAUGAAUAAAGAAAAGUAAAAUACAUCAGAAAGCUAAAGGGUCCCAGCUAAGGAGAGCAUGAUUCCGGCUUCUGUCUAAAGCAUGAAAUAAACAAACUCCCAAGAGCCAAAUCCCAAAGCCUUUCUCUUAUUUGGGAUGUGUCAGAGUUCCCUAAGAAUCUCAAACGGAUUCCGGGCAGUGCUUAUACCCAAAUAUAUUGCUGAAUUGGAUUAUGGUGCAAUGUGGAAGGGCCAACCCUCAUAUGUCCAAGUUCAAAGGUAAACUCAAGGUUCCCAAGGCAGGGCUCAUAGGGUGGGGGCAGAACUUAGGGUCUAAGAGUAAGUGCAAGCACAGUAGAAGGGGAAAUGGCAAGCUAGUGGUCAUGCCUAGCAAUUUGGGGUGCUGGCACACCCCUGGCCAGCUUGUCAGUUCAAAUUGAGGAAUAAAGACCUGUUGAAGGUCAGGUUCAGCCUUAGACAUCAAUUUAGAUGCUGGCAGGCUAUACCUUAACUCAGAACAUAUAGAGGAAUGGGUAUAGGGAUUCAUAUAAAAUCAGGAUGCAAUGAAAGAGCAAGCAAAGGGGCAUACCCAGCAAUGAGACAUACUAGCAUACCUUCCAGCAUACUUAGAGGNNNNNNNNNNNNNNNNNNNNNNNNNNNNNNNNNNNNNNNNNNNNNNNNNNNNNNNNNNNNNNNNNNNNNNNNNNNNNNNNNNNNNNNNNNNNNNNNNNNNNNNNNNNNNNNNNNNNNNNNNNNNNNNNNNNNNNNNNNNNNNNNNNNNNNNNNNNNNNNNNNNNNNNNNNNNNNNNNNNNNNNNNNNNNNNNNNNNNNNNNNNNNNNNNNNNNNNNNNNNNNNNNNNNNNNNNNNNNNNNNNNNNNNNNNNNNNNNNNNNNNNNNNNNNNNNNNNNNNNNNNNNNNNNNNNNNNNNNNNNNNNNNNNNNNNNNNNNNNNNNNNNNNNNNNNNNNNNNNNNNNNNNNNNNNNNNNNNNNNNNNNNNNNNNNNNNNNNNNNNNNNNNNNNNNNNNNNNNNNNNNNNNNNNNNNNNNGGGGGGGGGGGAGGGACAAAACUUGGGUCAGGAACAAUAACUCUUGUUGCCAUGCCACAAGUCCCCACUCUCAAGCAUAUAAGGGAUAAUGAGAUGGGGAGCAAUUGUUCACAAAGAAGACAAGCAAGCAAUAUCAUAUAGGCACUUUAAGUCAAGUUUUAAAGUUACAGGCAAAGAAAGUAGACAAAGGUAUUAGGACUUGUAAAUAAACACAUUCGGGUGAUGCUGAAUAUUAAGUUAGUACAUACCAUAAAGAGACAAGUGAAGAGAAGUAGUAGCUUUGUAAAAGCCAAAGUGCAGACAAGAAGUAAGAAUACUCCAAGUAUAAGUUCAGAGGAGAAUUGUGAUUUUGUAGUUUGAAGUGUGGUUUGUCGUGUGUGAUUGUUAAAAAUCUGUGUGUCUUGUGUUAAAGAGUCAUGUAUUUAUAGUGUGAAAGACAUGAUAAAAUAAGGUAAGAAAAUAAUAGAAGCCUGAUUGUCAAUCAAUUACAUAAGACUCCCCUUAAUUAAGGGAUUCAGGUUCAACCGGUACAAACUAAUUAAGGAAAGAAAUUAAACAAAUUUUUUUGUGCAAAGUAGAAAAUUAGAGGAAAAUACAUGGAAGUUAUUUAAGGAUAGAGUUUUGACAACACACGAUUUAUGUAAAUAAGGCAAGAGAAUCAGUUGACAGCCAGUAAAUCAGAAAGGUCUGUAAUUUGGUAUCAAUGAACCAAGUCACAAAAAUAAAGAAGGUUUUUACCUAAGCCAACCCAUCUAGGAAAUCAGUAAAAGAUGGAAGGAAAAUCAAUCAAGCUAUAUUUAGAAGGAGGUUUACUCUAAUUGCAAAUUUGAAAAUCAAUUAGACGGAAAUUCAUCAUAUAUAAGGAGCAUCUGAGUAUGAAAGAAGGUUGUCGUGUAAAUCAACAAAUAAAUCCAAUAGCAGAGUUUAGAAGAGUUUAUCAAAAGUCAGAAUCAUAUGAAACUCCGAAAGUAUACUAAAAGAGUUGGGGGUUUGAAAUAAGAAUCUUAGUUCAGGCAAAUCACAAAAGAGAGCAAUCAAUUGGAUCAAAAUAUGUAUAGCAAAGCAACAUGCAAUCACAGUAGAAAAAUUCAAAGUACACAUUGGCAAAUACUAAUAAGAAAAACAAGAGAAACAUACUUAGCAGAACCCUAAACAAGGCUGAAUCAAAAGCAGAGAAAGAACCAUAAGAACUUAGCAAGGAAAAUAUAGUAGAGAACACAAGAAUCGCCGAGAAAGGUAUAGCAGGAAAGCAUAUAGGAAAACACGGUACGACAAACAUAUAAGAACAUGAUAAAAUACAGUAGAAAAAUCUACAAGGCCAUAUUGUAGAAAACACAAUAAGGGAAGCAUACAAAAGAUGAUACGAGAACACAACAGAGGACAACACAGAGAAGAAAAAUCAUAAAACUCCUAAACAUUUUCCAGAAAACCCUAAAUCGGCAAAGAAGGGUUUUGAAAGUAAUUUUCAAAAAGAAAAUUGGGGAAGUCGUUUGGAAAAUCAUAUAGAGCAUAGAUACACAACAAAUUUAAAAAGAAUCGGAAAAAACCUCAAAAGGUUAGGGUUUCAGCGGAACCCUAGAACGAGAAAAGGCUUGGGAAAAGGUCGGAUUUAAGUUGGAUAAGGUCAGAAUCAGACUCAUGAGGCUAGGAUAUGCCAGAGCAAAGCCGCAGAUGCCCGGAAACCUUGAGUCAGCGAAGGUAUGGUCUCAAACAUUCAAGCAUCAGCUAAACAGGAGUAAUAUGAGGUGAGUAUAUCCAUCUAUGGUCUGAGAAGCCAUGGAUUCUGGUGAGGUUGCGAUCAGAGACGGUGAAAGGCGGCUAGGGUUAGGGAAUAUUUGAGAGAGUUUGAGAGAGAGUGGAGUAUUCAAAGGUGGCUGGCUAAAUGAAUAAUGGGGAUUAGGGAAUGGUGGGGGAUUAAAAAUGGCAAGGGAGAAUCCUAGUCGUUGAUCAAAAUGAUCAACGGCUUGGAUUAAAGCAAGAGCCGGGCGAUUUUUUUUAUUGGGUUGGGGCCGAGUUAAAAUUGGAACUGGGCUGGUCCAAGUAGGGGUAGAAUUGGGUCAAAUAAAGGUUAGAAUUGAAAUGCAAAGGAGGCUGCAAUUGAAAUAAAGGGAGGCUAAAUGGAAAUAGCCAGUUUUACCAUUUUUAUUUAUAAAAAAUAGUAAAACGGUUUUAAAAGCAAACUAAAAGCACUGAACUAAUUAAUAAUAUAUAGAUAUUAAUUUAAAAAUAUUGGGACCAAUUUUAUAGUUAUAAAAUACUAUUAAUCAUAAAAUAGGCUAUAAUCGCAAUUAUAUGCAAUUUAGUUGUUAGAAUGCCGAAUAAAUUUGUAAAAAUGUAUGAAAAUAAUACUAAUUACAAUUUGGGGUAAAUAGGAGAAUAAAAAUAGGUUAUUCACCAAAAUGAUAGUCUUGGAGAUAAUUAUUGAAUUAUUGUACUGCCAAACGGAUAAUAAAUUGAUUUUAAAAAAUUUAAAAAUUGGGAAAAAACACUAAAACACUUGGGUAUGCUUAUAUAUGUUAUUUUGAAAGUAAUUUGUAUAUAAAAAAUACAUAGGAAAAAAUUGGGUAUCAACUAUUGCGCUUUACAAGGUUCAAUUAAUUUAUUCGCUUGCGUCUCCAAGUUGUGAAAAAAUGCCUCUUGCCUUUGUACUUCCAUGUUCUCUUAUCAUAUAGUUCCAUGCAACACUUUAACAUAUCUUUGAUAUUUUUCCAGUCAUCAUCCCUAGGUUCUUUGUUCCUAUUAACUUCACAAGAAAAAGAAGAACCAUCAAAGUAAGGGGUUGGGGGAAGAUAAGAACUAUAAGCACAACCAUAAAAGUGACCAUCUUGAACACCACACAUAUCACACACAUUCCACAUAUGAGGCUGAGUUGGUUCACAAACUCGCUCUCAGAAAUAUUUUGAUAAUUUUUCCCUGGGUCGUUUCCUUUACAAUAUGCAUAAGGAGGAUUAAAAGAAGAAUUACCAAUAUCAAAAUUUUCAUAAUUCCAUGAUGCUAUGUCUUUCAGGUCAAAAACAAUAAAUAAAUAAAUUAUCAAAUACACGAAAAUAAAAAUUAUAGUUCAAACUUGCAACCUAGAAAUAUGUACACCUACAACUACACCGUUAGUUCCCCGGCAACAGCUUUGGUCACGCCCAACUAUACCUUAUAAAAAGGACAAAGCGGUCAUUGCAAAUAUAGUCCGCUUUACAAGUCCGGAGUCGAAUCUCACAAAGAACAAAGGCUUAGCUACAGUUGUUCACUAUCACAAGGAAUAUAAGCUUAAACAAUUCCCAUGUUAUAAAUAUUAAGAUUCUUGUCUUUAACUAACUAACUAACAAAUUAAAAUAAUAAAUUAACACUAAAGAUACUACAUGUUGGAGAAAAGACUAAGGAGGUA